UACGGAGGAUCCGAGCGUUAUCCGGAAUCAUUGGGUUUAAAGGGUCCGUAGGCGGUCCAGCAAGUCCGUGGUGAAAUCUCCCCGCUCAACGGGGAAAUGGCCAUUGAUACUACUAGACUUGAAUUAUUAGGAAGUAACUAGAAUAUGUAGUGUAGCGGUGAAAUGCUUAGAUAUUACAUGGAAUACCAAUUGCGAAGGCAGGUUACUGCUAAUGGAUUGACGCUGAUGGACGAAAGCGUGGGGAGCGAACAGG
Molecule: ribosomal RNA, 253 nt
Filed under: uncultured bacterium
Lineage: Bacteria
Description: partial 16S ribosomal RNA
Rfam family: Bacterial small subunit ribosomal RNA
Source: RNAcentral